Molecule: ribosomal RNA, 449 nt
Filed under: Triticum aestivum (bread wheat)
Lineage: Eukaryota; Viridiplantae; Streptophyta; Magnoliopsida; Poales; Poaceae
Description: partial small subunit ribosomal RNA
Source: RNAcentral
UGAGAGGAAGGUGUGCCGGGCUUAGUCCGAGUGGAAUAGGUAACUCGUCGAGUGGCCUCCCUCCUUUCUCGCAGCCACACCGUCGAGCAGCUGCCUCCGGUGCCAUCGAGGCACGUCCCUCCGUCUCCGGGCCGCUGCGGUACCUGCGCGGACGCUGCCCCCCGCUGCGGCACCCUCAGGAGGGGCUCCCGCAAGAGGGCAGCCGCUCACCCCCAGAGCGGGAGGUACCCUAGAGCGGCGCCAACCUCCACACCUGUCACAUCUGCGACGAGUGCCUCCGCUCGAGCACGGCCACCGACGGCGCUGCCGUACGAGCCUCUGGCGCCACCUCCUAGAGGAGGCCCGCCGACUGGGCCGUCCCCUACGGCACCGCCGCGCGAGUUCGCGAGUACGAACCCCGCCGAGGCCACUGCGAACUCCUCGACGUGUUAACGUCUCACGUCCGCCAG